UGAAUACGAGAUGCUACGGCGUCGAAGCAGUCUAUGUCAUACUUCCAAGAAAAGCUCGCACUGUCAUAAACAAAUAAUGCCUGUACCAUAACCGACACAGGUGGGUAGGUAGAGUAUACUAAGGGGCGCGAGAUAACUCUCUCUAAGGAACUCGGCAAAAUGACUCCGUAACUUCGGGAGAAGGAGUGCCUUAUUUAUAAGGUUGCAAUAACAAGAUCCAAGCAACUGUUUAUCAAAAACACAGGUCUCCGCUAAGUCGUAAGACGAUGUAUGGGGGCUGACGCCUGCCCAGUGCCAGAAGGUUAAAGAAGUUGGUUAGCAUUCGCGAAGCUGAUAACUGAAGCCCUGGUGAACGGCGGCCGUAACGAUAACGGUCCUAAGGUAGCGAAAUUCCUUGUCGGGUAAGUUCCGACCCGCACGAAAGGCGUAAUGAUUUGGAUACUGUCUCGGAGAGGGGCUCGGUGAAAUAGACUUGUCUGUGAAGAUGCGGACUACCUGCACCAGGACAGAAAGACCCUAUGAAGCUUUACUGUAACUUGAGAUUGAAAUUGGACUUUACUUGCGCAGUAUAGGUGGGAGGCGUUGAUAAUAUUCUUGCGGGAUUAUUUGAGCCAUCAGUGAGAUACCACUCUUGUAAUGUUAGAUUUCUAACUUUGUAUCAUUAUCUGGUCAAAGGACAGUUUCAGGCGGGCAGUUUGACUGGGGCGGUCGCCUCCUAAACGGUAACGGAGGCGCACAAAGGUUUCCUCUGAACGGGUAGAAAUCGUAUCUAGAGUGUAAAGGCAUAAGGAAGCUUGACUGUGAGACCUACAAGUCGAGCAGGGACGAAAGUCGGUCUUAGUGAUCUGACGGUGCUGAGUGGAAAGGCCGUCACUCAACGGAUAAAAGUUACUCUAAGGAUAACAGGCUGAUCUCCCCCAAGAGUUCACAUCGACAGGGAGGUUUGGCACCUCGAUGUCGGCUCAUCGCAUCCUGGGGCGGUAGUACGUCCCAAGGGUUGGGCUGUUCGCCCAUGAAAGCGGUACGCGAGCUGGGUUCAGAACGUCGUGAGACAGUUCGGUCCAUAUCCGGUGUAGGCGUUAGAAUAUUGAGAGGAGCCUUCUUUAGUACGAGAGGACCGAGAAGGACAUACCUCUGGUGUACCAGUUAUCGUGCCAACGGUAAACGCUGGGUAGCUAUGUAUGGAGUGGAUAACCGCUGAAAGCAUCUAAGUGGGAAGCCCACCUCAAGAUAAGUAUUCUC
This 1242-nucleotide ribosomal RNA is filed under the name metagenome. RNAcentral describes it as "bacterial LSU rRNA". It matches the Rfam family "Bacterial large subunit ribosomal RNA", at positions 1564 to 2815 of the family's 2925-position model. The record is from RNAcentral.